This 68-nucleotide transfer RNA is filed under the name Cavia porcellus (domestic guinea pig). It matches the Rfam family "tRNA". From Rfam's summary of the family: Transfer RNA (tRNA) molecules are approximately 80 nucleotides in length. The record is from Rfam by way of RNAcentral. Lineage: Eukaryota; Metazoa; Chordata; Mammalia; Rodentia; Caviidae.
GGUAUUUAGCUCAGUGUUACAGCACUUGCCUUGCAAGCAUGAGGUUCUGAGUUCGAUUCCCAGUACCA